AGAUUUUGUGUGAUUAAAAUUAAAUAAAAAAUCAGAAUAUUGGUAAGAAGUGCCUCUUAAUUAAGAGGUUUAAGAGGCGGUAAGAGGUGUCGACGUGUUCAAUAGUUGUUGGGUGAGAAAAGAAAAAAAAAAUUGUUGAUUAUUUUCUCUUCCUCCUUUCUCUCUUUGUCGACGAAAAUAUUGGAAAAUCAGAAGAGAUAUCUCUAAAAAAUCUCUUCUCUCAAAAAUCGUUGCAAGCAGAGGAGAGUGAUUCAAUUCUGGUUUGAUGAUCAGAGAUGAUAAUUCUCCGAUUUGCCCAAACACGGUCGAGGAACAAGCUCAUUGGAAUCAAUUGGAGAAAAGGAAACUCUGAGAUAAUGCAACAAGUUAAUUGUGUUAGAUGAUGUUUUGGAUGUUUGUGUCAUUGUAUAGAACAGUUCUUAGAACCAUAUGAAAUAGUGGGAAAGAUGGAACUGAAGUUGGAACCAAUCUUGUACAUGUCUCUGUGACAAUUGCAGGAAAAAACAAAGAAAGAACAUUGGAUUAGCAUAGAGUAGAGGUUUUCUCAAGACUUUGGCUUCUCUCUGAAAGUUAUUACCAGGCUUUUUUUUGUGGUCUUAAUCUCAGAAAGUUGAUUUGAAUGAUUGUUUUGAAUCUCUUUGUUUCUAGUCAUUAAUCUCUGUUUUAUUGUCAAUGAAGUCAAUGAAUCUAUGUUUUGCAUUUGACAAGUUUUUGAUGUGAUUAUGAACUCUUCAAAAAAAAUUCUUAAGAACCCCUCAUAUGUUCUACCA
Long non-coding RNA from Camelina sativa (false flax), 770 nucleotides. RefSeq lists it as uncharacterized. The record is from RefSeq and is a predicted model, not a curated record. NCBI's taxonomy places the organism in Eukaryota, Viridiplantae, Streptophyta, Magnoliopsida, Brassicales, Brassicaceae.